GCCCGGUUAGCUCAGUUAGUAGAGCGUUGGACUAUUAACUCAACGGUCAAGAGUUCAAGUCUCUUAUCGGGGGCU
Molecule: non-coding RNA, 75 nt
Organism: Styela clava
Lineage: Eukaryota; Metazoa; Chordata; Ascidiacea; Stolidobranchia; Styelidae
Source: the annotation of a RefSeq genome assembly